RNAcentral lists this ribosomal RNA (253 nucleotides) under uncultured bacterium. Its description in RNAcentral is "partial 16S ribosomal RNA". It matches the Rfam family "Bacterial small subunit ribosomal RNA", at positions 524 to 776 of the family's 1533-position model. The record is from RNAcentral.
UACGUAGGGGGCAAGCGUUGUCCGGAUUUAUUGGGCGUAAAGAGCGUGUAGGCGGCCAAGCAGGUCAGCUGUGAAAACUCGAGGCUCAACCUCGAGACGUCGGUUGAAACCACCUGGCUAGAGUCCGGAAGAGGAGUGUGGAAUUCCUGGUGUAGCGGUGGAAUGCGCAGAUAUCAGGAGGAACACCAAUAGCGAAGGCAGCUCGCUGGGACGUUACUGACACUGAGGCGCGAAAGCGUGGGGAGCGAACAGG